Molecule: ribosomal RNA, 253 nt
Filed under: uncultured bacterium
Lineage: Bacteria
Description: partial 16S ribosomal RNA
Rfam family: Bacterial small subunit ribosomal RNA
Source: RNAcentral
UACGGAGGAUGCAAGCGUUAUCCGGAAUGAUUGGGCGUAAAGCGUCCGCAGGUGGCUGUGUAAGUCUGCUGUCAAAGAGCGAAGCUCAACUUCGUAAAGGCAGUGGAAACUACACGGCUAGAGUGCGUUCGGGGCAGAGGGAAUUCCUGGUGUAGCGGUGAAAUGCGUAGAUAUCGGGAGGAACACCAGUGGCGAAGGCGACUACCUGGCCUGUUCUUGACGCUGAGGCGCGAAAGCUAGGGGAGCAAACGGG